GAUGAACGCUGGCGGCGUGCUUAACACAUGCAAGUCGAACGAAGCGCUUAAGCUGAUUUCUUCGGAUUGAUUCUUGAGUGACUGAGUGGGCGAGGGUCGAAGGUACGCGUAGGGUAACCUGCCUCAUACAGGGGAUAACAGUCAGAAAUGGCUGCUAAUACCGCAUAAGCGCACAGUACCGCAUGGUACAGUGUGAAAAACUCCGGUAGUAUGAGAUUGGACCCGCGUCUGAUUAGCUGGUUGGUGGGGUAACGGCCCACCAAGGCGACGAUCAGUAGCCGGCCUGAGAGGGUGAACGGCCACAUCGGGACUGAGACACGGCCCAA
RNAcentral lists this ribosomal RNA (326 nucleotides) under uncultured bacterium. RNAcentral describes it as "bacterial SSU rRNA". It matches the Rfam family "Bacterial small subunit ribosomal RNA", at positions 28 to 334 of the family's 1533-position model. The record is from RNAcentral.